AUGGCCGAUUCUCAGUAUCUCCAGUACUUAGAAUUCUGUAUUACAGAGGCAGGCAAACAUCGUGAGGAGAAAAGGCCUGAUCCUACAUCUCGUAUUCAUAAUGUCCACAUACAAAUCACGAUUGUCAUAAAGCUGUGACACUUUGGAGUUGCUGGUAAGAGAUCGAUCUUCUUUUCUUGGUGCCAGAAACAUGACAUGGGUCGGGGUUAUGAAAG
This 215-nucleotide long non-coding RNA is filed under the name Chrysemys picta bellii (western painted turtle). RNAcentral describes it as "lncRNA (ENSCPBG00000003574.1)". Lineage: Eukaryota; Metazoa; Chordata; Testudines; Emydidae. The record is from RNAcentral.